Eriocheir sinensis (Chinese mitten crab) is the source of this 4306-nucleotide long non-coding RNA. RefSeq lists it as uncharacterized. NCBI's taxonomy places the organism in Eukaryota, Metazoa, Arthropoda, Malacostraca, Decapoda, Varunidae. The transcript is spliced from 5 exons. The record is from RefSeq and is a predicted model, not a curated record.
AGGAAUCUGUCACACGCCUCACCUGCCCCUUCCUCAGGAAGACGGGGCAGCUGACGCGCCUGUGAAGCCCUCACAGGACGACACCAUGUGAGCGACUAGAUCACAACAACAACAACUUUGUUCUCACCGCAGCGUGCUCAGUGAAAAUGGUUUCCUAGAGACGAACACACCUUGAAAAAGUGGAUUUUGGCCUGCAAACGAAAAGAUGAAGUGAAGGUGAAGUCUGCGCGCAUGUGCUCCAAACAUUUCCAAGAAAGUGAUUACAAUCAGGCGUAUCGUUUCAAAAAAGAGAAAUUGAGAUCAUCACCAAUAAAAUGCAGGCUCCUUCACCCUCAGGCAGUACCAUCUCUACAACUUCCCAACUCAAAACUUAAAGCAGAUGGCAGCAAAGCUCGAACCAGAAGAUUAGCUGCUAGGCACCGACAUUGGAUUAUGAAGAGUCCUGUGCUUGAUGGCACUGACCAUCCACGGAAAGUCGUGAAGAUUCCCCUUGCUGACUCGCCCAUCAAGGACAUAGAAGUUGUGGAGGUGAAGGAGGAGCAGACAUACACAGAGGAGGCAGAGAAAAUACAUCCCUUUCAGGAGCACGACCCCCUCUCCAUAAAACUUGAGCCUGUCUCAUGGCAGUCCUCUUCCUUGCAGGAGGAGCUUCAACUCAAAGGCAGUGAGAGUCAUAGAGUCUACGUCAAAGAAGAAAUAGAUAUCAAAGAAGAGGACGUUUGUUACUUCAACACUGAAGAAGUUGCUGAGUAUGUAACAGAGAAGAGAGCCUCUUCCAGGGACCACAUGUAGGACCAAGAAGCUUCCUUUGAAAAGAAAAAAAGUGAUUAAGAAAGUUUACAACUUCUUAGGUCAUAGAAGAAAAUCAUCAUCAUCAUAUUAUUAGCUCUGCAAGACAAAGAACUUUCCCAACAUUCUCCACCUACUUUGUAAGAUGUUAGUGUAAUUUUUCAUGUCAUCAUCAUUAACUGUUAUUAGCUGUAGGUAAAAGGCCUUUCUCAUUAUUCUCAAACCCCUCUGUCUGAUAUUGAUGGACUGUCAUGUCAUAAUCCUAAUCAGCAACAGCAGCCAUUAAUAGCUCUGCAAGGCUUUACCCAAUAUUCUCCAUCAUCUUUCUCUGAUGUUUGUGUACUCUGUAAUGAUCUGGCAAUUUUUUAACUUAAAUAUCCACUGGAUUCUCUGCCUGCCAGAUCUAUGCAUAAUAUGACUUCCCAAAUCUUCUUUAUUUUGAACAGUCAUCAGAAUAGUUUUAUCCUGUUUCUGUUUCCUAAUCCUUGAUGCUCACUUCCAUUUACUCCAUAUUAUACCCAGCAUUUUCUUCCAUUCCACUUUUUGCACUUCUGAGCUUUUUCUUUAGAACUCUUGUGAAACAUCAAGUCUAUAAACGGACUGUCAAGAAGUGGGGGCGGUUUUACACCUUCCUCUGUAAACCCCAACAGCAGCACCAUCCUCUCCCUUCCAGUCCUCCCAAUCACCUCACGUUCCAUCUCACUCAGAAACACCUGCAUCAUCUUCGGUCUCUCUCUGUCAUACUUCUUACAUUUACCCCGCGCUCCCAUCACUAGCCGCUCCCUUCACCUCCGCCACUCCGCCUCACUUGCCUCCUUCCUCUUCCUUUGACUACCCAUGCUAUUGUUGACAAAGAUAACUCCUUUAAGUUAAAGUUUUCUAAAGAAAGAAUUGCUACAUUACAUUUGUAAGUCACUGACACAACAAAAACACGUCCUCACACUCACCAUCACAUUGUUGAUGCGUCACUGGUCGUCGUCGUUGUCUGCCGAAUCUUCACCCUGCUCUCACUUCUCCCUCCUCACCCCAUCCUUCCACCUCCUGUGAGGAGAUGGAAGUACACUUGGGUGCCAUAGUAGAGGUCAAAAUGCAGUGUACGUAUUCCAGAGAAACGGCAUAAACGACAAGUAUGGUUGGAGGAUGCUCGGAUAAAGUUUGGCAGAUCUUCCCCAAUAGCCUUGAGGUUGUGGCAUUCUUUUAAGACAAUAUCUCUUCAAUAUAAAGAUGCUGUCCAUCAAUCUGUAAUUAAAUAUGAAAGAUCUUUAGUUUCUCCCGGAAAUCCUGAUGUUAAACGUUUUCACUCCUAUUUUCGUAGCAAGAAGGUUCAGCGUCCUACUAUUGGACCGCUGUAUGGAGAUAAUGGCUGGUGCGCUGACACAACUGACAUGGCAGAUCUUUUUGUUGAUGCAUUCUCUGGUGUAUUUUCUUCUGCUGACUUAUUGAAUCCUUAUCCUGUCCAGCAUUGUGACAAUUCAUUUAUAUGUAAUAUAUUUAGUUUUGAUAUUUUUAAAAUUGAGAUUAUCCUUUCUAAGCUGAAAUCUUCUGCUUGUUGUGGCCCUGAUGGUAUACCUUCAGUAGUUUUAAAGAGAUGUGCCCCCUCCAUUAGUUAUCCUUUGCUCUUGUUGUUCAGGAAAUCUCUUUUAUCAAUGCAAGUCCCAUCUGACUGGAAAGAUGCUAAUGUUAUGCCACUGUUCAAAGGUGGAAUCCAUUCUGAUCCCCUCAACCACAGACCAAUCAGUUUGACAUCAGUGUGCUGUAAAUCUUUUGAAAGAAUAAUUGUGUCUCAACUUACUUCUUAUUUGGAAGAUAAUAACUUACUUUCACAGCAUCAGUAUGGUUUUAGAUUGGGUAGAUCAGUUUUUGAGCAACUGUUGUUUACUUAUGACUAUGUGACUCAUUUCUAUGAUAGUGGUAUGUCAGUGGAUGUGAUAUUUUUUGAUUUCAAGAAAGCUUUUGAUGUUGUUAAUCAUAAAUUAUUACUUACAAUGCUGUCUAGUAUUGGGAUUGGGGGGUGUUUGCUGGGAUGGCUGAAAGACUAUUUGAGUGGGAGAAAGAUGCAAGUAGUUGUCCAUGAAAGUAAGAGUUAUAGAGCGGAUGUAAGCAGUGGUGUUCCCCAAGGGUCUGUAAUUGGCCCCUUGCUGGCAAAUGUGUCAGAAUGAACUUUUGUAGGAAUUUCCUUUAUGCUCCUGCUCCUUUACCGUAUUUUAUUGGAAACCAACCCAUACAAGAUGUAGAUAACUACAAGGAUCUUGGGGUCAGGGUGGAUUCCUCCCUAAAGUUUCAUUUGCAUGAGAGAGAAAUCACUGGCAAGGCUGGAGGCAUUGGUUACAGUAUUCUACAGGGUACCCUCCUUGGCUAAAACGAACCGUUCUGUGGUCACCAUUUCCUAACUCUCCGCCCACCUCCAACUCACGUACAUAGCAAGUUUCCAUUAUUAGUUAGGACUAAGUCUAUUAUGUCAUCUCCUCUGGUAGGUAUAGGCUCAGUAACCCUGCUUAACCCUGGAUAGGUAACGUGAAAUUUUUUGUCACGCAUCAGGUAACGUGGUUGCAUAUGUGCUACCACGACUUUCAAGCUUCAUAGCUCAGCAGCUAUUGGGUAAAAUGUUACCAUUUUUGGUGUGAAUACUCUUACAUCCAUCUACUACUGUAUGAAAAGGUAAUAAAUGAAACUCGUUUAAAGUUUACCUGUUUUAAUGACCAUUGAAAAAAAAAACAUGAAAAAAGAGAUGUUUCCAUUUAAUCACCAUGUGUAGGUUAAACACAAAAGAUUGGAAAAUAUGGAGUGUUGUGGCAAGUAAAGUACAUGCUGAGCUACCUUUAGAGCUGUGAUUGAGUCCCCUAGGCCCAAUAGCAACGAAUCUGGAAGCAAAAGAAAAAGGGGGAAAUUUUGUUAGUAAAAAAAAAACAAGUAAAUUCAAAAUUGUCUUAGGAGUACUAAAUAUUUGUGAGCCUAAGUGAAAUUUGGUAUGGAUCUUCUACAACCAUCAUCCCAAUGGAAAACCACCCCUAAACCCAUUUUGAAUAAUUUUAAAUGAGUGAAAAAUUAUUUUUAUCCAGUACAUCCAUGAGUGCCAUUUUUGGGGGAAAAGUAAUAAAUAAAAGGCUGUAAAUCAUCUAAUAGGCAAGGGAUAUUAUUGAAAGUGUGCAUGAUUAUAGCUACAGCCAUAAUAAAUACGAAAAUAAAGCGUUUGGCUCUUACCAGGCUGUGUGGCAUGUCUGGCACAUGCUCACGAGAUGGGCCGGGCAGGUGGGCUUCUUGCACAUGCCGCACAUCCACCUCAAUGGUGAACUUUAAUGGUUCAUCAAUAUCACUUCCAGAAUCCCCCUCAUCCAAUAAAUGCUCCUGGAUCUCUUCCUCCGUCAGGCAACGGCGCGACAUGAUGAAAUUUGGAAAUUGAGAAAAAAAAAGAAAUUUGAACAAUGGGCAAAACCUAACAUCGUGGAGUCACCAACUCAAAUAUGGCAACUCGAGUGAGUAGGUUGUCGAUACGCUACCGCGUUACCUGUCCAAGGUU